AAUCUUCACACAACCCAUGUAAUACAUAAGGUAAAGAGAGAUACAUAGUUGGUUUACAAUCGCCACUUCACACAAUUACAUGAAUAAAAGCAUUACAUCAUGCAGAUACAAUCAAGGUCCGACAACGGAACCAAAAUGAAAGAAGACUACCCCAAAUGCUACAUAGAUCCCCGAUCGUCCCGACUGGGCUCCGCUACUGAUCAACUAGAAUGAAACAACAUAAAGGACAAGAUCUUCAACUAGCUCCUCCUUGAGCUUGGUUCCGUCACCUGCUCGUUAACAUCGGCACCUGCAAACUGGUGUUGGAAGUAUCUGUGAGUCAUGGGGACUCAAUAAUCUUACACCCUCGCGAUCAAGACUAUUUAAGCUUCUGGGUAAGGUAAAUAUAUGAGGUGGAGCUAUAGCAAGCGACUAGCAUAUAUGGUGGCUAACAUACGCAACUGAGAGCGGGAAGAGAAGGCAAAGCACGGUCGAGAAUCUAUGAUCAAGAAGUGAUCCUGGACUACUUACAUCAAGCAUUACUCCAACACCAUGUUCACUUCCCGGACUCCGCCGAGAAGAUACCAUCACGGAUACACACGCGGUUGGUGCAUUUUAAUUAAGGUCAACUUCAGGUUUUCUACAACCGGACAUUAACAAAUUCCCAUCUGCCCAUAACCGCGGGCACGGCUUUCGAAAGUUCAAAUCCCUGCAGGGGUGUCCCAACUUAGCCCAUCACAAGCUCUCAUGGUCAAUGAAGUAUAUUCCUUCUAGUGGGAAGACCCGAUCAGACUCAGAAUCCCGGUUACAAGAUAUUUUGACAAUGGUAAAACAAGACCAGCAAAGCCGCCCGAUGCGUCGACAAAUCCCGAUAGGAGCUGCACAUAUCUCGUUCUCAGGGCACACCGGAUAGGUCAAGCUACGAGUAAAACCAACCCUCGAGUUGCCCCGAGGUGGACCCGCAGGCUACCCAUUUCGGACCAACACCCAGAGGAGCACUGGCCCGGGGGGGUUCAAAAUAAAGAUGACCCUCGGUCUCGCAAAAACACAAGGGAAGGUUAUAGGUUGUUAGUGCAAAUGUUAAAACCAAGGUUGGGCCUUGCUGGUGGAGUUUUAUUCAAGGCGAACUGUCAAGGGGUUCCCAUUAUAACCCAACCACGUAAGGAAUGCAAAACCCGGGAAAAUAACACCAUAUGAAGGAAACUAGGGCGGCAAGAGUGGAACAAAGCACCAGGCAUAAGGCCGAGCCUUCCACCCUUUACCAAGUAUAUAGAUGCAUUAAUUAAAUAAGAGAUAUUGUGAUAUCCCAACAAAAUAUCCAUGUUCCAACAUGGAACAAGCUCCAAUCUUCACCUGUAACUAACAACGCUAUAAGAGGGGCUGAGCAAAGCGGUAACAUAGCCAAACAACGGUUUGCUAGGACAAGGUAGCUUAGUGGUUUGACAUGGCAAUGUGGGAGGCAUGGUAAGCAAGUGAUAGGUAUCGCAGCAUAGGCAUAGCAAAAGAGCGAGCAUCUAGCAAGCAAAGAUAGAAGUGAUUUCGAGGGUAUGGUCUUCUUGACUGAAAUCCCGCAAGGAAGAAGAAUGAGUCCAUGAAGAAGACAAACGGACGUUGUCGAACGAAUCCUCACAACACGACAUUACCGGAUUACCUAGACAAAGUACACCGGAAAGAAAGAAAAUAACAUAGUAAACAACCACCACAUAAGCAUGGCACGGUGCGCAAACAAGUAUGAUGCAUGUCCAGUUUAAUGAGGCAUGGCAUGGCAAAGUGCACAAACAAUCCUACAAAUUAAGUGGAGCUCAUUAUGCAAUGGAGUUUCAUAUUGAAGAAAACACCACAUGACUUAUUUAGUUCUCUCUCGUUUAUGUACCCAACAAGAUUAAAUGUUGUUAGCAUGGCAAGAGGUGAAUCAUGAUGAAACUAUCUAAUCUAGGCAAGUUUAAAUGAGGCCGGAACAACAAAACAACAAGUCCGGAAACUCCUGAUAUGCAUAUAUUAGGUUUGGUACUGUUCUACCCUAAACAUAAUUUUAGAGUUCUUAAGCAUGCAAAGUGAAGCCACCAUGUUGAACUAGGAAAAAUUAUACCCUAUUUACAUAUAAAGUUUAUUAAAAUCCGAGCUACGGUUAUUUAGUUAUGAAUUAAAGAAUUUUAGCAUGUCCAUAAAGCAAAUUUAAACAAACAUCAUUUUAAACAUGUCAAACAUGAUUGAAAGUUGGAUAUUAUUAAACUAGAGAAGAUUCUAAGCAUGUUUCAUAUUAAGUUUGAUUUAAACCGAUGCACGGUUUAUGAGUUAUUAUAUGCAUGAAGUCUAGGGGGUUUUCAGUAAAAUAGUAGUCUCAGGAAAAAUAACUAAAUUCGUAGAGAGGGAAAAAUAAACAUGGGCUGAAACGGAACCGAGUUGGGCUGGGGAAGUUCCUCCCAUUGGGCCUCGGCCCGGAACUGUGGAGAGGGGAGGCCUGUAGCUGGUCUAACGGAUCUGGGCCACGGGGAGGCUUGCGGUCCAGGAGGCUUGCCCACGCUGGCGCUGUCUGGGCCUUGGAGGCCGAGCGGUCAACAAGCGUGACGGGGCGAGGUGAGCUGCUCUCGUCUCUAAACUCUGAAGGGCAGGAACAAAUAGCAGGGAAUGGAAUGUAGCGGCGGCUUGGGGUGGCGCAGGAUUUCGGCGGCGCUCGAGGUGGGCGGAGGAAGCGGGGACGGAUCUGGCCGCCGAAGGUCCAUUCCGGCAGGAUCCGGGCGAGCUCCUCUGCCUGUCUCUGAAGAAAGACGGGAGCGAUAGGCAUUAGAGAGAGAGAGGGAGGAGAUGACGACAGGGAGAAGGAUGAAGGAGAGGGGCGCGAGGGGCUGGCCUGUCGACGGCGUUGCUGCUGCUCCCGUUGGCGAGGCCGCGAGGCCACUCGGAACCAGAGACGGAGGGAGAUGCCAGGGGUGCGAUGGGGUGUGACUGGGGUUGCCGGCGACGACGAGGCGGGUCCUCGGAGGCACGAAGGCGAGGCCAUGCUUGCCAGGGCGGCAAGGCGUGAUUUCCUGAAGCCAAGGCAGCGACGGUCUGCGGGAGGAUGAAGAGGGAGCCUCGGGGAUGGGGCAUCAGGGCCGGAUCCCGUGCAGAGGAGGCCACAUGCGAGGUGGAGGUCCGGCGCUGAGAUGUGAUGGAGGAAGGUCGGCGGCGGCUUCCUUCGGUUCCUGUGAGAGAAAGAGAGAGAGGUCAGAGGAUGGAGUAGAGGCAGGGAAGAAAAAUGAAAAGAGCAGGGGAGGUCUGGCCUGUCGACGGCGGUCAACAGGGUGGCGGUGUCUCGGGCUCACAGGCGACGAGGAGGAGGCAGGCAGUAGGGCCCUCAGUGGCUGCUGCUGCGAUUUUGUGCGGCGCUGAAAAACAGGGAGGGGUCGGAGAGGACUAGGAUCGGGAGGAGAACAGUGGUUGGUCCGAUCUGGAAAACAAGGAGGAAAGUGAUGGCUUCGGUUGGUGGUUUGGAUCGGGAGGGGAUCCCAAGGAGGAGGAGAUAGUGGGCUGGCGGCGGCGGAGGAUGGGACAAGAUCCCUAGUUUCUAGGUUUUGGUCUAGAUUUAGACUAGGGGGUAACUAUAUAUAUAUAAGGAAAGAGGGAAAGUGUAGGGGUUAAUCCGUCCCUCCGAUCGUAAUCGGAUGGUCGGAAAAAAUAGGCUAGGGAGCUCAAUAAGAAAACGGAGACGUUUUGUAGACGUUUGGGGAUGAUCCGGACACAACGGUGGCGACUGCCCGGGUCGGGUCCGGGACAGCUUUCGGACGCGCGCGUGAGGAUUGGCCGCGGGCGGAUGAGAGAGGUUAGGUAGGGUCUGACGGUGAGUAGUGGACUGUGCAGAAGGUCUCAGGCUAAGAGAAGAGAAGAGAGGCCCGGUGACUGUUUCCGGAGACCGAAAACGUCCGACGUUAGACCGACUAUAUUGCCGCUAUAGAUUAACGGUUGGGCUAUCCAAUGAACUCCGAAUGCGAUGAAACUUGACAGGCGGUCUAUCUACACUAUAAUAAGACCACACGCCAACUUUCAACCCAAUCCGAGAACAUUUUCCGGCCACUUAUAAAAUACUAUUUCGGACAUGCCGCGGGCGCGUGCAAGUGUGUCUGGGCUCAGAACGUACAACGGGCGGAACUAGGAGACCCGGACUAAUGCAAGUUUCGAAAACAUGAUGAUGCAAUGCACAUGAUGACAUGAUGAAAAGCAACACGCAAGCAAAUGACAUGGCAACGCCGGUGAAUAACUGGAAGACACCUGGGGCAACGAUCUCGGGGCAUUACAACACUCCACCACUAUGAGAGGAUCUCGUCCGAAGAUCUAGAAUGGCACCGGGAGGACAACGGAAGAGAAGGAGAAGAGGUAAAACUAAGUUGCUUCUUUGACCAAUGAGUGAAACCAAAGAACCUUGAAAAUGUUAAGCCAUUUCGAGAAAAAUAUACAACGGAGAUGACGAAGUUGACAACACUCUGUUUUAAAAGAGGAACACGGGAGAACAACUUCGGGCAGCACUCCAAUUGAAAAGAAAAAGAAUUGAAUAAGAACUUGGCCAGAUGAGAACAUACUUGAUGAGAUCAACAACACAUUGUCUCUAGAACUAUUGAAAGAAUGGCACAAUGGGUAAGAAAGAUCUCAGACAGCACUCCGGUUGAGAAGGGAGUCAAGAUUUGAUAAGAUGAGAGAGCUCGAAUGAAAACACGACACUCCGAUUGGAUGGAUAAGCAAGAGAAAGAACAUGAAUUUCACAAUACGAGAUGAUGAGUGAAGAGAACAUCAUCACAAUGCCUCCGGAAGAAAUAUAAGAAUGGAAAAGAAAGGAAUAGAGAAGAAGACAACAAGUUUUUCCUGAAAUGAAUUUGGGAGAGCAUCCAUAAAAAGAAGGAUUGAAUGGAGUUGUUGGGAAAUCAACAACGAAAAGAAUAAGAUUGAUAUGGUCUUAUGGAAUACAUCUCAAAUUAUGAGGUGACAACCUGCUACUCACGGGAAAAAGAAUUGGAUUGAUAAGAACAAGUAGACAAGAAGCUAUUUCACCGGGAGGAUAAAAGAAAAUCUUGGGUCACUUAUGAGCACCAUAGAUAGCAACAAUCCUUAGGGAAGGCUUUAGGUGAAACAUGACACAAGAUAGCUCCAACUAGUUGGUUGAUGGAUUUCAAAUACCUCUUUCUUAAUAACAUGUGAAUCAUGAAACAUGAACUCAAAUUAUCAAGAAUGACAUAAUGCCACCUCGAAUGAUAUGGUUGAAAGAAUUGCACUCCGGAUUACAAGAUGAAGAAUGCUUGAACUCCUGUGAAAAGAAUCUUGAUGAAUGCUUCGAGAAGGGGAAAAAAUCCUUGAUGAACCAUCAUGUAGAGUCUCCAUGAAGAACUUCGGUAAACAAAAGGAUGACGAAAAGAAAAGGAAGUUGAAAACAUAAGGUGAAUCCUUGUACCGAUUUAGAUGAAUCUCCAUGGUGAAAUAGUUGGAAAAGAUUGGAACUCCGGGAGAAAUAGAGGAUGAACAAUUGAAAUCAGGAAUUUAAUCAUCAUGAACAAACUCCGGAAGAAAAAAUUAACAUAUGGAUGAAACAAGAAUAAGAAUUACAUUAUGCUUAUCCUUCACCAAUUUAGAUUGAUGACAAGCAACGGAUUUGGCAUACUACUUAUUCUCGUAGAAGAAAAUAAGAGAGAUAUAACAUAAACUUGAGAAUGUCUUCCACGAACCACCGGUAGGAAUUUGGAAGAACAAAUAAAUUGAUAAAGAAGACAAAUCUUGAACGAACCACCGUAAGAAUUAAAAAUGAACGAAGAGAAGAUAAAGAAAACACCGGAAAGAAUUAGCAAAUGAAUGAAGAUGGUUGAGAGAAUUUAUAUAUGAGAGAACAAAGAGAUCACGCACUGAUUAGAGGAUAUUUGAUCGAUGCACUCGUAAGAUUUAGAGAAUUAGAGUUGAAAGCUGAGGAUGAAUAAUUCUUCUGUAAUGAUGGGCUCCGGAUGAAUCAAACUGAAAAUACUCUGAAUUACUCUGGAUGGGUGAAAAGUAAUUUUCACAACCGAAACAAUUAUGGGAGGAUGGCAGAGAAUGGGGUAAGAUUUAAAAGAAACUCUUCUUCGGUCUUCAAAUGUUGUGGAUGACGACGAGAAACAACACCAAGAAUUAUUGAGGCACACUGGAAUGAAGAAUGGAAAAGUUGAGCCAACGAUGAAAAGAAAUGAAAGAACUUGGAGAAAGGCAUUUGACUGAUGACAAUCAUUCUUACGUCAAACUUCGAAAAGAAAUUUGAGGAUAGCUCCGGAAAAAAAUAAGUAGAGUCAGGUAAGAUCCUGGGAAAAGACCUGUGUGUUAGGGCCCACUCAAAAGAAACACCGUUGAAAUGAUUAAAGGAGAGAUUGCACUAGUUGAAUUAAAAGGCUUGAAUGAGAUAACAUCCUCAAAAUAGCUUGAACGGAUUAAGAGUGGAAACACGAAUAUUCUGUGAUAUCUUUAGCACUCUGGAACAAAAGAAUAACAAGUGGGGAAGAUUAAGAGGUGCACCGGCAUAAAUAGGCAUUGGGCAAAAAGAAAAGGAGUAUGAUCAAUACCAAAGCUUGAAUUAAAUCCACCGGAGAAGAAAAUGAGUGACGAGAGACGAACUUGAAGCUUCGUUAGCAUCUUCUUGAGAAUCACCGGAUAAGAAUAUUGACGAAAAAGGAAUGGAGAAGCUUCCCAUUAAUAAAAGGAUACUUGAAUAAGAAAUCCGAGUCCUUGAAGAAAAAGGGUGGGUGGGUGGGGAAAACAAAGGCAACUUGGAGACGGAUGAAACAAACACCGUUGAGAAGAACUGAUAAUUGAUCUUACUGAUGUUGAAAUGAUUGGAUCCACUUGAAGAGAAACACGCCGGUUAAAAAGGAUUGACAAAACAAUCUUGAUGAUCAAGAAGGAUUGGUAUUCACCUCGGAGUAUGAGAACACCAUUUGGGGAAGGUAUGGAAUCAAACACUUGACAUUGAAGCAACUCGAAUACCACAACUCAAAACAAAACAAAGGAUUGGCUUGCAAAAUAAGCCGGAACAAACAUAUGAUAGAGAUUUCAUCCGAAGUUUUCGUGGUGGGGCUUACACGGGCUCGAUCAUACAGCACCAUCAUGUACAAGGCAGUGCACAUGACAUACGAAGCAUCCCCGAGUCAGCAUAGCCAAGGACUCUUUAAGACACAACGAGACCACUGUAAAACCAACCGUGGAUAGGCGGACCACUAGACGUCGAACCCCAAUUUCAUAUCAUACAUCUGUUGGAAAGAUAUCCUAAGAGCUACUUGAAUUCCCACUUAUAAACUGCCGAAAUUUUCCGGUUAUGCAAUCAGGUGUUGGGGAUACAGGGGAAGCAUAAUAUCUCACCCAAAUCUAGCAAAUCCUACACCCAGAUGUAUCCAUCCUUCAACACAUAACCAAGAAACCUUCGGAAAUCAUCUACCUCAACCUUUGAAAAGCAUCUGUUAUACGAGUUAUGGCAAUACUCCUGAACUCCCGCCCCAGUACUGGGUGGCAUCAAGGUUAUCUCACCAACAACUGCAUAAAAGAAUUUUCGAUGUCGGCGAAUCUAAUCUCAAGUAUUCCGGAACUGCAACGAUAAAAUUGUGACGACAACACCUCGGAGCUCAACUCCCAGGGACACUGUCACAACCCCUAAAUGACAGGAGGCACCAAGAACAAUGUUCUCGUCACAAAACCAUCGAAACGAUUCCAAGAUACCCGCGUGAUCCUAAAAUUUUUUAGUGAAAAAGAAGAGAAGAGUCAAAACUCUACGUCAGGAUGCCUUACCAGAGCGACGAAGGGACUGAGGAGUAAAAAGAAUUCCUAACCCUCUGAUAUAUAUAAUUCCUAAAUGACUCAAAACAUUUUUCUAGACUCAAUAACGUCAGCGAUUCGAUCAAGCAGGGGGCUCCUAAAGUCGGGGAAGGCUCUGAUUACCAACUUGUAGCGCCCUCGAUGCGGAUAUAUCUCCCACGUGUCGAAGCACGACUUAGAGGCAUAACCGCAUUGAAAGCAAUGUUGCAAGUGAGGUAAUCUUCACACAACCCAUGUAAUACAUAAGGGAAAGAGAGAUACAUAGUUGGCUUACAAUCUCCACUUCACACAAUUACAUGAAUAAAAGCACUACAUCAAGGUUCGACUACGGAACCAGAAUGAAAGAAGACUACCCCCAAUGCUACAAAGAUCCCCGAUCGUCCCGACUGGGCUCCGCUACUGAUCAACUAGAAUGAAACAACAUAAAGCACAAGAUCUUCAACGAGCUCCUCCUUGAGCUUGGUUGCGUCACCUGCUCGGUAACAUCGGCACCUGCAAACUGGUUUUGGAAGUAUCUGUGAGUCACGGGGACUCAGCAAUCUUACACCCUCGUGAUCAAGACUAUUUAAGCUUAUGGGUAAGGUAAACGUAUGAGGUGGAGCUGCGGCAAGCGACUAGCAUAUAUGGUGG
This 8400-nucleotide long non-coding RNA is filed under the name Triticum aestivum (bread wheat). RNAcentral's name for it is "long non-coding RNA (TAES_LNC020561)". Lineage: Eukaryota; Viridiplantae; Streptophyta; Magnoliopsida; Poales; Poaceae. The record is from RNAcentral.